Long non-coding RNA from Octopus bimaculoides (California two-spot octopus), 533 nucleotides. NCBI's taxonomy places the organism in Eukaryota, Metazoa, Mollusca, Cephalopoda, Octopoda, Octopodidae. The record is from RefSeq and is a predicted model, not a curated record.
CAAUAGUUCAUGUAUGUAUGUAUGUAUGUAUGUAUGUAAUACAGUGACGGGUGCAGGGGUGUUGUCCUAGUUGCCCGGGCAACACUCUUUUUAGUCGAGCAGACACCACAAAAUUGGGACCGAGGUUUUUCGGGCAACAGUCAAGGAAAAGAGAGUCGACCCUUACUAGAAUAACAGUUGCCGGACCUACUAGGUGUUGCCCGACCUGCUCACUAGAAUGCAACACCCCAAAAACCUUUGGGCAACACCUAAAAUCUUUUGGGCAACACCCAUUAAAAAAUCCUGGAUCUCCCACUGAAAUGUAGACCGGAUUUCAAGCAGAGCAAAAGCCUAUAUUUACAUUCGUGCGCCAGGAACAUUCAAAUCAAAAUAUUAUCUAGGUGAAUCAUGAAGUUUCCCGUCAACGGAGCUUUUUUCUUUGCUAUAAUAGCUAUUUAUUGGUAUUAUUUUGAAUUUUGUCGGUACCGGAAUCUACCUCAGUUUGUGGGCGGCUACGUCGACCCGCGAUUUAAGCUAGUCGGAGAAACAUUUCG